UUACGGCCAUAUCACGCUGAAAACACCGGUUCUCGUCCGAUCACCGAAGUUAAGCAACGUCGAGCCUGGUCAGUACUUGGAUGGGUGACCGCUUGGGAAUACCAGGUGCUGUAAG
This 115-nucleotide ribosomal RNA is filed under the name Acanthosepion pharaonis. Lineage: Eukaryota; Metazoa; Mollusca; Cephalopoda; Sepiida; Sepiidae. The record is from RNAcentral.